GACGAACGCUGGCGGCGUGCUUAACACAUGCAAGUCGAACGGAAAGGCCCUGCUUUUGUGGGGUGCUCGAGUGGCGAACGGGUGAGUAACACGUGAGUAACCUGCCCUUUACUUUGGUAUAACUUCAGGAAACUGGGGCUAAUACCGUAUAGGAGCUCCUGCUGCAUGGUGGGGGUUGGAAAGUUUCGGCGGGUGGGGAUGGAUGCGCGGCUUAUCAGCUUGUUGGUGGGGUAGUGGCUUACCAAGGCUUUGACGGGUAGCCGGCCUGAGAGGGUGACCGGCGACAAGGGGACUGAGAGACGGACCAGACUCCUACGGGAGGCAGCAGUGGGGAAUAUUGCACAAUGGGCGGAAGCCUGAUGCAGAAACGCCGCGUGCGGGAUGACGGCCUUCGGGUUGUAAACAGCUUUCGCCUGUGACGAAGCGUGAGUGACGGUAAUGGGUAAAGAAGCACCGGCUAACUACGUG
This 468-nucleotide ribosomal RNA is filed under the name uncultured bacterium. RNAcentral's name for it is "partial 16S ribosomal RNA". It matches the Rfam family "Bacterial small subunit ribosomal RNA", at positions 28 to 507 of the family's 1533-position model. The record is from RNAcentral.